RNAcentral lists this ribosomal RNA (210 nucleotides) under uncultured bacterium. RNAcentral's name for it is "partial 16S ribosomal RNA". It matches the Rfam family "Bacterial small subunit ribosomal RNA", at positions 1290 to 1500 of the family's 1533-position model. The record is from RNAcentral.
AGUUCGGACUGCAGGCUGCAACCCGCCUGCACGAAGUUGGAAUUGCUAGUAAUCGCGGAUCAGCAUGCCGCGGUGAAUACGUUCCCGGGCUUUGUACACACCGCCCGUCACACCAUGAGAGUUGGAGAUACCCGAAGCCUAUGAGCUAACUUUUAGAGGCAGUAGUCGAAGGUAGAAUCAAUGAUUGGGGUGAAGUCGUAACAAGGUAGC